UGGGGAAUUUUGGACAAUGGGCGCAAGCCUGAUCCAGCCAUGCCGCGUGCGGGAAGAAGGCCUUCGGGUUGUAAACCGCUUUUGUCAGGGAAGAAAUCUUCUGAGUUAAUACCUCGGGAGGAUGACGGUACCUGAAGAAUAAGCACCGGCUAACUACGUGCCAGCAGCCGCGGUAAUACGUAGGGUGCAAGCGUUAAUCGGAAUUACUGGGCGUAAAGCGUGCGCAGGCGGUUUUGUAAGACAGAGGUGAAAUCCCCGGGCUCAACCUGGGAACUGCCUUUGUGACUGCAAGGCUUGAGUGCGGCAGAGGGGGAUGGAAUUCCGCGUGUAGCAGUGAAAUGCGUAGAUAUGCGGAGGAACACCGAUGGCGAAGGCAAUCCCCUGGGCCUGCACUGACGCUCAUGCACGAAAGCGUGGGGAGCAAACAGGAUUAGAUACCCUGGUAGUCCACGCCCUAAACGAUGUCAACUAGUUGUUGGGGAUUCAUUUCCUUAGUAACGUAGCUAACGCGUGAAGUUGACCGCCUGGGGAGUACGGUCGCAAGAUUAAAAGCUUAAAUGAAUUGACGGGGUCAUAGCUGUUUCCUG
Molecule: ribosomal RNA, 587 nt
Filed under: uncultured bacterium
Lineage: Bacteria
Description: partial 16S ribosomal RNA
Rfam family: Bacterial small subunit ribosomal RNA
Source: RNAcentral